Non-coding RNA from Bos taurus (domestic cattle), 72 nucleotides. The record is from Rfam. Lineage: Eukaryota; Metazoa; Chordata; Mammalia; Artiodactyla; Bovidae.
UCCCGCAUAGCUCAGUUGGUAAAGUAUCCGCCUACAACGUGGGAGACCUGGGUUUAGUCCCUAGUUCGGGAA